This 246-nucleotide ribosomal RNA is filed under the name Vigna unguiculata (cowpea). RNAcentral's name for it is "partial 16S ribosomal RNA". It matches the Rfam family "Bacterial small subunit ribosomal RNA", at positions 889 to 1134 of the family's 1533-position model. Lineage: Eukaryota; Viridiplantae; Streptophyta; Magnoliopsida; Fabales; Fabaceae. The record is from RNAcentral.
GAAGAAUAAAACUCAAAGGAAUUGAUGGGGGGCCGCACAAGCGUUGGAGCAUGUUGUUUUAAUUCGAUGCAAAGCAAAGAACUUUACCCGGGCUUGAUAUGUUGUGAAUCCUCUUGAAAAAAAGGGGUGCCUUCGGGGACCUAGACACAGGUGGUGCAUGACUAUCAUCAGCUCGUGCCAUAAGGUGUUGGGUUAAGUCCGCAACGAGCGCAACCCUCAUGUUUAGUUGCCAACAUUGAGUUUAGA